CAUUGACUGGUUUGACUUCUUCACCUUACUAUUUUUUACUCACACAUUGACAGGUCUGACUUAUUCACCUUACUCAUACAGUCAGUCCAUUGGAAUAAAAGAAAAAAAAAACUGUACACAAUAAAUACACUUGGUAGUCACUAGGUCAACUCUAUUUACACAAGCACAGCCUUCCAUCAAGUCAUGGUACACACACAAACACAUGUGGCAUUACACACAUUCACAUCAGUCUUCACACACAACCGUAUCUCAAUUACACACACACACAUGUGCCACUAGCACGCACACACAAUGGUGUUGGCCCUGCCCUCUGCAGACACAAACACAUCAGCAAAGAAUUGACACAGAGCUAAAACAUUAGUCCAAUUCAAAGUUCAAGUGUUCAAUGGAACUGAAUCCCAGUCCUGUCACACAAACACACAUGUACAGGAAUGGUGUCCUGUCACACAAACACACAUGUACAUGAAUGA
Biomphalaria pfeifferi is the source of this 470-nucleotide non-coding RNA. NCBI's taxonomy places the organism in Eukaryota, Metazoa, Mollusca, Gastropoda, Planorbidae. The record is from the annotation of a GenBank genome assembly.